AUCCAUUGAGUUAACACUGAUUUCUGUUUUUUUUUCUUUCUUUGCCCCCCUCCCUCAAAAAAGGUAAAACUGCUUGAGCUGUACAAGGCACCAGCAACAGACUAUGCCAUUGUUCAGGUGGACCAGGCAUUAGUUUAUCUGGCUGACCUUUUAAGUAUUUGCCCACAACGUCUCCUAGAAGAUGACCUCCACACCUCAUAUCCAUGGCUUACAGAUGAUGCAGUGAAUGCGAGAGUUCUCCAGCUGGCAAGACCUCUGGAGAAUGCGUUUACUUUGCAAACAUUUAAUUUCACGGCUUGGUGGAGGAAUUGGAUAAAUGGGGAAUCAAUCAGCUUCCGCCAUUUGCAUUGCAUCCAGG
Molecule: long non-coding RNA, 358 nt
Organism: Sander lucioperca (pikeperch)
Lineage: Eukaryota; Metazoa; Chordata; Actinopteri; Perciformes; Percidae
Exons: 3
Source: RefSeq, a predicted model, not a curated record